Molecule: long non-coding RNA, 504 nt
Filed under: Pan troglodytes (chimpanzee)
Lineage: Eukaryota; Metazoa; Chordata; Mammalia; Primates; Hominidae
Description: long non-coding RNA NONPTRT014619
Source: RNAcentral
GCCAUGCCUGGUGAGUCACUUCCCAUGUUUGAGCCUCACCUUCACAGUUUUCUCACUUGCAAAAUGGGUUCAUAACAGCAAUCAUAUGGUGUCUUUGUGAAAAUUAAGUACUAUGAUAUUUGUUCAGUACAGAGUAUGCUGCUGAGAGUAUGUUUAUGCAAUAAAAAGAAGCCAUGAUGAUGUUUGCAUUUGGUAUUUGAAGAUCAGUUUCAAAUGUUGGCCCCACCAUCUGCUAGCUGAGCAAUCUUGAACAAGGAGAUUUUGCUUCUCUGAAUCUCAGCCUCCUCAUCUGUCAAACGGGAAUGAGAACACUACCACCUCCCCCAAAGGACCGUCUGGAAAACCUAAGACGCACAUCUACUUGGACACAACUAACACCAUCCAUUCCACCCACCUCGCAGCAGGACCCCUCCUGGUGGCAGAAGAUGAGCCGCCUGAGGGCACAGGUAGUUUUAGGGGUUGGGGUCUCUGCCAGAUGGGCAGAGGAGCCUUCCUAUGGGAUUU